AGCAAAGUAAUGAGGAAUGUUCCAAAAGGAUAUGAUGAACUGAGGUUUAUCAAGUCGGGGAGCAGAAGGCUGAAAUAAGACUGCUAAGCUCUAAACAAAUCCUUUAAGUCUUCACAGGGCAGGAAAGCGACAACUUUGGGGGCUAUCUUCUCUAGCAGGCAGAAAAAAGAAUGCCAGAACAAAAAUAGUAUACUCAAUGUAUAGUCAGAAAGCAGCUGAAGAAGUGAAGCGAGAACUGAUAGUUAAAAGUGAACUAUUACAUUCUAGAAAAGUCAUGGUGUGUAAGAAGAUCCAAAUGCGAGUAAAAUUUGGUGCCAUGACUCGGACUGGGGGACCUCCCUUAGGAGAUCAAUCCCUAUCCUCCUGCUCUUUGCUCCAUGAGAAAGAUCGACCUACGACCUCAGGUCCUCAGACUGACCAGCCCAAGGAACAUUUCACCAAUUUUAAAUCGGUUCCUUUCCUUUUCUGGUAGAGACAAAGGUGAAGCGUUUUAUCUGUGAACCCAAAACUCCGGCGCCGGUCACAGAAUCAGGAAGAGUCUUCCCUUGGUGUUUAACCACAUGGGGAUGCCUACAUGAUUAUUCACCCAUGUUUCAGAGGUGUCUGACCACGGAGGGAUGCCUGUCUUGGUCCUUCACCCUUAGCGGACCCCACUGAAAAUCGGACUGUUCAACUCCCCUGGCAGCCACUUCCAGAGCCCCUGGAACUCUGGCCCAAGGCUCUCUGACACCUUCCCAGACCUUCUUGGCUUAGCAGCUGAAGACUGACACUGCCCGAUCGCCUCAGAAGCCUAUAGGACCUUCACAGAUGCUCUGGGUAACCCUCACAGUGGAGGGCCUGGUUGCAGUAUGCCUGAAAUUUGGGAUGUAGAAGAUCCUGCCAAUGCUGGGAAAACUCCCUUAUGUAACCUCUUGGUGAAGGAUUCCAAACCUCACUUCACCACUGUAUUCCAGAACAGUGUUUACAAAGUCCUAGAAGUUGUAAAAGAAUGACUGCUACAUGACCUGCUGCCUACGGAGAACUACAUCUCUAAUGGUUUUAAUGUUUUGCUAAGUCAUGUGUUGUUCAUAUCCCAAAAACUUUUAUAGGUAACUGUUUUCAAAUAGAAAAUGUUUUAUUUGGUCAAUUUGAAUGUCAUUCUAAUUAUAAAAAUGACUCAUACCUUU
This is an RNA transcript of Homo sapiens (human), 1166 nucleotides long. It is a transcript of the gene named DPY19L1 pseudogene 2, with no coding region annotated. The record is from RefSeq and is marked validated. Lineage: Eukaryota; Metazoa; Chordata; Mammalia; Primates; Hominidae. The transcript has 6 exons.